This is a long non-coding RNA of Sebastes umbrosus (honeycomb rockfish), 432 nucleotides long. RefSeq lists it as uncharacterized. The record is from RefSeq and is a predicted model, not a curated record. Lineage: Eukaryota; Metazoa; Chordata; Actinopteri; Perciformes; Sebastidae. The transcript has 4 exons.
UGGAGCGGUGAUUUGUGGAGACGUGGAGGAGACGUGUGCUGAUGUGCUCAGAUAUCACGAUGGUGUACUGCUGAUUGAUGAGGACUCUAACCAGUGAGCUCUUCCUGCCGGCCCGUUUCCCGUUCAGGGUGCUGGUGCUAGCUGUGGUACCACAAACCCCUCUUCAACGGAGAAGCUGAGUUUUCCUGUCCGUGCUGUUGGAGUCUUGGGACUGCAGCCUUUACUCUCGCAGAGAUGCCAGGAAAUACUGCUUCACUUCACCAAGGUAAUCUGCCCAGCAGACACAGUGACAAACGACUCCCGGUGACAUGCCCCCACCCCCCCUCUGCUCUCAGGCCGAGACGGAAUCAGUCACAUGGCCAAAUCAGCCCUCAGCACUGUAUGGCUUUGCUCCGGUGCUGGUGCUCCUGUCUGUUUCUCCAAGCUGGGGGU